This 74-nucleotide transfer RNA is filed under the name Schizophyllum commune Loenen D. RNAcentral's name for it is "tRNA-Val". The record is from RNAcentral. Lineage: Eukaryota; Fungi; Basidiomycota; Agaricomycetes; Agaricales; Schizophyllaceae.
GGGUUGGUGGCGUAGCUGGUCAUCGUAUCUGCCUAACACACAGAAGGUCCCCAGUUCGAUCUUGGGCCGACUCG